RNAcentral lists this ribosomal RNA (451 nucleotides) under Bifidobacterium breve. RNAcentral's name for it is "bacterial SSU rRNA". It matches the Rfam family "Bacterial small subunit ribosomal RNA", at positions 212 to 670 of the family's 1533-position model. The record is from RNAcentral. Lineage: Bacteria; Bacillati; Actinomycetota; Actinomycetes; Bifidobacteriales; Bifidobacteriaceae.
UUUGCGGCAUGGGANGGGGUCGCGUCCUAUCAGCUUGAUGGCGGGGUAACGGCCCACCAUGGCUUCGACGGGUAGCCGGCCUGAGAGGGCGACCGGCCACAUUGGGACUGAGAUACGGCCCAGACUCCUACGGGAGGCAGCAGUGGGGAAUAUUGCACAAUGGGCGCAAGCCUGAUGCAGCGACGCCGCGUGAGGGAUGGAGGCCUUCGGGUUGUAAACCUCUUUUGUUAGGGAGCAAGGCACUUUGUGUUGAGUGUACCUUUCGAAUAAGCACCGGCUAACUACGUGCCAGCAGCCGCGGUAAUACGUAGGGUGCAAGCGUUAUCCGGAAUUAUUGGGCGUAAAGGGCUCGUAGGCGGUUCGUCGCGUCCGGUGUGAAAGUCCAUCGCUUAACGGUGGAUCCGCGCCGGGUACGGGCGGGCUUGAGUGCGGUAGGGGAGACUGGAAUUCC